AGCAGCCGCGGUAAUUCCAGCUCCAAUAGCGUAUAUUAAAGUUGUUGUGGUUAAAAAGCUCGUAGUUGAACCUUGGGCCUGGCUGGCCGGUCCGCCUCACCGCGUGUACUGGUCCGGCCGGGUCUUUCCCUCUGUGGAACCCCAUGCCCUUCACUGGGUGUGGCGGGGAAACAGGACUUUUACUUUGAAAAAAUUAGAGUGCUCCAGGCAGGCCUAUGCUCGAAUACAUUAGCAUGGAAUAAUGAAAUAGGACGUGCGGUUCUAUUUUGUUGGUUUCUAGGACCGCCGUAAUGAUUAACAGGGACAGUCGGGGGCAUUCGUAUUUCAUAGUCAGAGGUGAAAUUCUUGGAUUUAUGAAAGACUAACUUCUGCGAAAGCAUUUGCCAAGGAUGUUUUCAUUAAUCAAGAACGAAAGUUAGGGGAUCGAAGACGAUCAGAUACCGUCGUAGUCUUAACCAUAAACUAUGCCGACUAGGGGUCGGAUGAUGUUAAUUUUUAAAUGACUCA
Molecule: ribosomal RNA, 507 nt
Filed under: uncultured organism
Description: SSU rRNA
Rfam family: Eukaryotic small subunit ribosomal RNA
Source: RNAcentral